This is a non-coding RNA of Podarcis lilfordi (Lilford's wall lizard), 73 nucleotides long. The record is from the annotation of a GenBank genome assembly. NCBI's taxonomy places the organism in Eukaryota, Metazoa, Chordata, Lepidosauria, Squamata, Lacertidae.
GUCCACAUAGCUCAGUCAGUAGAGCAUGAGACUCUUACUCUCAGGAUUGUGGGCACAAACCCCAUGUUGGGUG